AACAGGAUUAGAUACCCUGGUAGUCCACGCUGUAAACGAUGUCGACUUGGAGGUUGUGCCCUUGAGGCGUGGCUUCCGGAGCUAACGCGUUAAGUCGACCGCCUGGGGAGUACGGCCGCAAGGUUAAAACUCAAAUGAAUUGACGGGGGCCCGCACAAGCGGUGGAGCAUGUGGUUUAAUUCGAUGCAACGCGAAGAACCUUACCUACUCUAGACAUCCAGAGAAUUUGCUAGAGAUAGCUUAGUGCCUUCGGGAACUCUGAGACAGGUGCUGCAUGGCUGUCGUCAGCUCGUGUUGUGAAAUGUUGGGUUAAGUCCCGCAACGAGCGCAACCCUUAUCCUUUGUUGCCAGCACGUAAUGGUGGGAACUCAAAGGAGACUGCCGGUGAUAAGCCGGAGGAAGGUGGGGAUGACGUCAAGUCAUCAUGGCCCUUACGAGUAGGGCUACACACGUGCUACAAUGGCAUAUACAAAGAGAAGCGAACUCGCGAGAGCAAGCGGACCUCAUAAAGUAUGUCGUAGUCCGGAUUGGAGUCUGCAACUCGACUCCAUGAAGUCGGAAUCGCUAGUAAUCGUAGAUCAGAAUGCUACGGUGAAUACGUUCCCGGGCCUUGUACACACCGCCCGUCACACCAUGGGAGUGGGUUGCAAAAGAAGUAGGUAGCUUAACCUUCGGGAGGGCGCUUACCACUUUGUGAUUCAUGACUGGGGUGAAGUCGUAACAAGGUAACC
Molecule: ribosomal RNA, 731 nt
Filed under: uncultured bacterium
Lineage: Bacteria
Description: bacterial SSU rRNA
Rfam family: Bacterial small subunit ribosomal RNA
Source: RNAcentral